This 495-nucleotide ribosomal RNA is filed under the name uncultured bacterium. RNAcentral's name for it is "partial 16S ribosomal RNA". It matches the Rfam family "Bacterial small subunit ribosomal RNA", at positions 28 to 507 of the family's 1533-position model. The record is from RNAcentral.
GACGAACGCUGGCGGCGUGCCUAAUACAUGCAAGUAGAACGCUGAAGGAGGAGCUUGCUUCUCUGGAUGAGUUGCGAACGGGUGAGUAACGCGUAGGUAACCUGCCUGGUAGCGGGGGAUAACUAUUGGAAACGAUAGCUAAUACCGCAUAAUAUUGACUAUUGCAUGAUAGUCAGUUGAAAGGUGCAACUGCACCACUACCAGAUGGACCUGCGUUGUAUUAGCUAGUUGGUGGGGUAACGGCUCACCAAGGCGACGAUACAUAGCCGACCUGAGAGGGUGGUCGGCCACACUGGGACUGAGACACGGCCCAGACUCCUACGGGAGGCAGCAGUAGGGAAUCUUCGGCAAGGGACGGAAGUCUGACCGAGCAACGCCGCGUGAGGGAAGAAGGUUUUCGGAUCGUAAAGCUCUGUUGUAAGAGAAGAACGAGUGUGAGAGUGGAAAGCUCACACUGUGACGGUAUCUUACCAGAAAGGGACGGCUAACUACGUG